UACGGAGGGUGCAAGCGUUAAUCGGAAUUACUGGGCGUAAAGCGCACGCAGGCGGUUUGUUAAGUCAGAUGUGAAAUCCCCGGGCUCAACCUGGGAACUGCAUCUGAUACUGGCAAGCUUGAGUCUCGUAGAGGGGGGUAGAAUUCCCUGUGUAGCGGUGAAAUGCGUAGAGAUCUGGAGGAAUACCGGUGGCGAAGGCGGCCCCCUGGACGAAGACUGACGCUCAGGUGAGAAAGCGUGGGGAGCAAACAGG
RNAcentral lists this ribosomal RNA (253 nucleotides) under uncultured bacterium. RNAcentral describes it as "partial 16S ribosomal RNA". It matches the Rfam family "Bacterial small subunit ribosomal RNA", at positions 524 to 776 of the family's 1533-position model. The record is from RNAcentral.